RNAcentral lists this long non-coding RNA (1078 nucleotides) under Setaria viridis. Its description in RNAcentral is "long non-coding RNA (SVIR_LNC004802)". Lineage: Eukaryota; Viridiplantae; Streptophyta; Magnoliopsida; Poales; Poaceae. The record is from RNAcentral.
UCCAACUCAUUCCAAGUUGAGCGUGCAUCUCCACCCUUGGGAAUCAAUUAAGUAGGGUGUAUAUACCUGCAUAUAUUAUCUUACACAUUCCUUACGAGAUCAGGUACAGAUCAGCUGAGGAGCUGGUAGGAUCAAUGAUUCAAAUUAUGUAGGAACUUCUCUUAUUUGAGCAAAGGGUGAGAAUUAAUUAGUAAGAGAUAAAUACUAUAUACCACAUAAGAAUCCAUUGUGAAUAGGGAAUGACAGUGCUAAAAUUGAGUAAUGGAUAAUUAUGUAGUUAGAUGGCAUAUGCCACGCCAUCAUAAUAAUUUCUUAUGUUCGUAAAGCUUCAAAGAUUCAGAAUGAAUAUGAUCAAAAUACAGUUAGGAUUAUGCUUUAUAAAUUUGGAGUGAGAGCCACGUGAAGAAGAGCAGACAAUUCAUGCUUCAAAAAGACAUUGCAAUGUAAUUGCCUCUGCCCACCGUUUUCCCAACCCAGAAAGGAUCAGAUGUCCAUAUCUUCCCACCCGUUUUCCCACAGUCCAAGGCAUUACUUUCUGGAACCUCCUCUAGCUCUGAGCUACAUUUGCUCAAAGGCUAAAGGGAAUUUUGGACAGUAUGUCGUGCUCGUGGCACCGCGGGACAAAACGACAACUAAGUGCAUGUGUUGGAGGCCUCACUGAUGCAGUUAUUUAUAAGGACAUAGUGCGCAUAGGGCGCACGGAUUUGUGUGAUGAACUGAUCUGGAUUCAAAUUUUAUUUUAGAUUAGAAUAUAUCAAUGUUCAGUUGGAUAGCACCUUGGGGAUAGAGAAGGUCAACCGUGCGAUGUGGAAUCAUUUCACAGGAUGUCAGGAUUAGGUGACAGGUUACUGUAAUGUAGGUCUGGGGACUUGAGGCUGAUGGAUGUUUUUUACGUUCAGCAAAAUUCCAACCUUGUCAGCAUGAUAGUCCGGCCAAAAGAUUCACAGUCGAAUUAGCACUGUUAUAUGUGCCCCCACUCUAUUAACGAAAAAAAUAGUGUAAUUAAUUUGGUCAUGGAUCAAUUGUUACGAUGAUAUAAUUUGUGAUCCUAGCUACAUUUCAAUAUGAGACAAAUCAU